GAUAAUAAAAACAUUUCUUUACUGUAAGCCAAGUGCUGUGCUAAUGGCCAACAGGUACUAGCCUUUGUUAUGUGAAAGCCCUCAUAAUGAAGUGACAAGAUUAGUACAACCGAAAGAAACAAGGCUUAAAGAGCAUUUCCUUCCUUGUAAGAUGAAAAGGUGAUGGAAGUGCUAGCGAAGUGGCUGGGUGAGCAUCAGGCAUGCAAGGUGCUGAGGCCUCCUGAAGGAGGUGCUUCUCAGCCAUAAGCAGGAAGGGCAGAAGGAUUGAGCUUGUGUAGUCAAGGUGUUUAGAAGGCUGUAAAGCUAUCAGGAGACAUAGACUUCUAAGCAACAGAGUAAUUUAGCUGCUGCCUUUUCCCACACUAGUGUAGAAACAAGUUGCCUGAAUGAAAAUAGCUGUAGUCUGGAAUACAGUCCCAAGGCCCAGCACAAUGGGAAAAUGAUUGAACUUGACAAUAGACACAGUGGAUAACCAGAGGAGAGUAGUCAGAAAUGAUUGCAAGGUUGUUGGGAGUGAAUCAGGGAUCAAGGUUUCUGGAAGAGAGAAAUCAUGAGGUAGGUUUUCUUCUUUGAAGGUGGGGAAAGAUCAAGUGCAGACUGAGCUGUGGCCAACCGUGUGCAGACCAGGAAUCCACACCAGCUCUAAUCAGAGAGCUCUUGGUGUGCGGGAACUGCCAGUUUGCCGACGUGAAAGAGCCCCAGGCUGGGUAAUGGUGAGCCCUGAAGUCGCACCCCAGCUCUGCCACUGAGUGAGCACGGCAACAUCCCUAAUCCUGACCAGCCAUGGAGAGGUUCGGUUCUUACAAGGAAA
Molecule: long non-coding RNA, 811 nt
Filed under: Rattus norvegicus (Norway rat)
Lineage: Eukaryota; Metazoa; Chordata; Mammalia; Rodentia; Muridae
Description: long non-coding RNA NONRATT022685
Source: RNAcentral